AUGCACGCUGGCGGCGUGCCUAAUACAUGCAAGUCGAGCGAACGGACGAGAAGCUUGCUUCUCUGAUGUUAGCGGCGGACGGGUGAGUAACACGUGGAUAACCUACCUAUAAGACUGGGAUAACUUCGGGAAACCGGAGCUAAUACCGGAUAAUAUUUUGAACCGCAUGGUUCAAAAGUGAAAGACGGUCUUGCUGUCACUUAUAGAUGGAUCCGCGCUGCAUUAGCUAGUUGGUAAGGUAACGGCUUACCAAGGCAACGAUGCAUAGCCGACCUGAGAGGGUGAUCGGCCACACUGGAACUGAGACACGGUCCAGACUCCUACGGGAGGCAGCAGUAGGGAAUCUUCCGCAAUGGGCGAAAGCCUGACGGAGCAACGCCGCGUGAGUGAUGAAGGUCUUCGGAUCGUAAAACUCUGUUAUUAGGGAAGAACAUAUGCGUAAGUAACUGUGCACAUCUUGACGGUACCUAAUCAGAAAGCCACGGCUAACUACGUG
Molecule: ribosomal RNA, 496 nt
Filed under: uncultured bacterium
Lineage: Bacteria
Description: partial 16S ribosomal RNA
Rfam family: Bacterial small subunit ribosomal RNA
Source: RNAcentral